AAUAAGUACAGUUUUGCACUAUUCACGUUCAACGUUUGACCGUUCGUCUUAUUUGAAAAUUUUGUAUUAUUAGUAUUUUUAUUGCUAUUAGAUGAUAAAACAUGAAUAGUACUUUAUUUGUGACUAAAUAUUUUUAAAUUUUUCGCAAAUUUUUCAAAUAAGACGGACGGUCAAAUGUUGGGCACGGAUAUUUAUGGCUGCACUUAUU
Non-coding RNA from Oryza meridionalis, 208 nucleotides. NCBI's taxonomy places the organism in Eukaryota, Viridiplantae, Streptophyta, Magnoliopsida, Poales, Poaceae. The record is from Rfam.